This 907-nucleotide ribosomal RNA is filed under the name uncultured bacterium. Its description in RNAcentral is "bacterial SSU rRNA". It matches the Rfam family "Bacterial small subunit ribosomal RNA", at positions 17 to 906 of the family's 1533-position model. The record is from RNAcentral.
UCCUGGCUCAGAACGAACGCAGCGGGCGUGCCUAACACAUGCAAGUCGAACGAGAAAGGGGGCAACCCUGAGUAAAGUGGCGCACGGGUGAGUAACACGUGGGUAACGUACCCUCGGGUGGGGAACAACGAGCCGAAAGGUUCGCUAAUACCGCAUAAGACCACGACCUCUGCGGAGGACGGGGCCAAAGGGGGCUGUCGUGAGGCAGCUCCCGCCUGAGGAUCGGCUCGCGGACCAUUAGCUAGAUGGGGGGGUAACGGCCCACCAUGGCUACGAUGGUUAGCUGGUCUGAGAGGACGACCAGCCACACUGGAACUGACACAUGGUCCAGACUCCUACGGGAGGCAGCAGUGGGGAAUAUUGCGCAAUGGGCGAAAGCCUGACGCAGCAACGCCGCGUGAGUGAAGAAGGCCUUCGGGUUGUAAAGCUCUGUCGGAGGGAAAGAACAGGGUGGGUGACCCUCACCCCUGACGGUACCCUUAAAGGAAGCACUGGCUAACUCCGUGCCAGCAGCCGCGGUAAUACGGAGAGUGCAAGCGUUGUUCGGAAUUACUGGGCGUAAAGCGCGUGUAGGCGGCCUGACAAGUCCGGCGUGAAAGCCCGGGGCUCAACCCCGGAAGUGCGUUGGAAACUGUCGGGCUUGAGUACUGGAGGGGAUGGUGGAAUUCUCGAGUGUAGAGGUGAAAUUCGUAGAUAUUCGGAAGAACAUCAGUGGCGAAGGCGACCAUCUGGACAGAUACUGACGCUGAGACGCGAAAGCGUGGGGAGCAAACAGGAUUAGAUACCCUGGUAGUCCACGCUGUAAACGAUGGAUGCUAGUUGUCGCGGGUAACCAACCCUGCGGUAACGAAGCUAACGCGAUAAGCAUCCCGCCUGGGGACUACGGCCGCAAGGCUAAAACUCAAAU